UGGGGAAUCUUGCACAAUGGGGGAAACCCUGAUGCAGCGACGCCGCGUGAGCGAUGAAGGUUUUCGAAUCGUGAAGCUCUGUCCUAUGGGAAGAUAAUGACGGUACCAUGGGAGGAAGCCCCGGCUAACUACGUGCCAGCAGCCGCGGUAAUACGUAGGGGGCGAGCGUUGUCCGGAAUUACUGGGCGUAAAGGGUUCGCAGGCGGCAUGGCAAGUCCGAUGUAAAAGGCGAAGGCUCAACCUUCGUAAGCAUCGGAAACUGUCAAGCUUGAGUGAAGGAGAGGCAAGUGGAAUUCCUAGUGUAGCGGUGGAAUGCGUAGAUAUUAGGAGGAAUACCGGUGGCGAAGGCGACUUGCUGGACUUCAACUGACGCUGAGGAACGAAAGCGUGGGUAGCAAACAGG
RNAcentral lists this ribosomal RNA (403 nucleotides) under Fusobacteriota bacterium. RNAcentral describes it as "Fusobacteria bacterium partial 16S ribosomal RNA". It matches the Rfam family "Bacterial small subunit ribosomal RNA", at positions 355 to 776 of the family's 1533-position model. Lineage: Bacteria; Fusobacteriati; Fusobacteriota. The record is from RNAcentral.